This 253-nucleotide ribosomal RNA is filed under the name uncultured bacterium. RNAcentral's name for it is "partial 16S ribosomal RNA". It matches the Rfam family "Bacterial small subunit ribosomal RNA", at positions 524 to 776 of the family's 1533-position model. The record is from RNAcentral.
UACGUAGGGGGCUAGCGUUGUCCGGAAUCACUGGGCGUAAAGCGAGCGCAGGCGGUUCCUUAAGUCUGAUGUGAAAGCCCCCGGCUCAACCGGGGAAGGUCAUUGGAAACUGGGGAACUUGAGUGCAGGAGAGGAAAGUGGAAUUCUCAGUGUAGCGGUGAAAUGCGUAGAUAUUGAGAAGAACACCAGUAGCGAAGGCGGCUUUCUGGACUGUAACUGACACUGAGGCACGAAAGCGUGGGUAGCAAACAGG